UUGCCGAAGAAAGGGAGAGCUCCUCUUGGUCUAUGAUUACAUGCCCCACGGAAGCCUUGAUAAACUCCUAUUUCACAAUGACACACCCAGCUUUAAUUGGGUUCAUCGAUAUCAGGUCCUCAGAGGAGUUGCGUCUGCCCUUCUUUACCUCCAUGAAGAGUGGGAACAGGUUGUUCUUCAUAGAGAUGUUAAAGCUAGCAAUAUACUGUUAGAUGAUGAUUUCAAUGGUCGACUAGGAGAUUUUGGGCUUGCUAAAUUCUAUGAUCGUGGGGCUAAUCCUCAAACAACCUGUGUGGUUGGAACAGUUGGAUAUAUCGCGCCAGAGGUUACUAGAACAGGAAGGGCCACUACCAGCAGUGAUGUUUUUGCUUUUGGCACUUUUAUGCUUGAAAUGGCCUGUGGAAGGAAACCUGUAGAGCCAGAACAAUCAGCAGAAAAGAUGAUUUUGGUUGACUGGGUUCUUGACUCCUGGAAAAUAGGAGACAUUCUUCGAACAGGUGAUCCAAGAUUGGAAGGUAAUUACGUGGUGGAGGAAAUGGAAUUGGUUUUAAGGCUAGGUCUGCUUUGUUCUUUCUCCACACCACAAGCUAGGCCAAGCAUGAGGAAAAUUUCGCAAUAUCUGGAUGGGAAUGCUAGCCUGCCAGAGAUGCCUCUUGAUGGUGCUAGCAUAGGUUUGAUGCCAGUUAGUCAUGAAGAGCCUGGGGAUUUCACCUUGUCUUUCCAUAGAUCUAAUGAUUACUCUGCUCAUUCCUUCUCUAGUACCGACUCAAUCCUCAGCUGUGGUCGUUGAAUCAUGGCUUAACGAGGUAAAAAUUCUUUAAUCUAAAGACUAACAGCUGGCAUGUGGAAGGUAGAUUGGAAUACUUAGAGGGUUACCUUGUUUGUGCAUACCAUAGUAAUCCUCAAAGCACAACAAAGACUGCUCCAUGAGGGGUUAAUUAAUUAGCAUACAAACAUAGGUAUAAUUUAUGAUUUAAGCAAAACACAUGGUUGAAAUAGUACAAUGUUUGAUGUACAAUGCUGGUCAAUGAUGGCCGUGUAGCUUCUUCCAUUCUCCUCAGUGCUCUAACCCCACCCCACAAUUCAACUCAACUAUGCCUCAUUCCCAAACUAGUUAGAAUCAGUUUCACAGAUCUUCCUUCUCCAUUCAUUUAGUCCUUGUUCCUUUUUUGAUAAAACUCUCCACUUACUUCUGUUAUGGACUCAAAUGAUUAAUCACCUAUGCCUACCUCGUUUUUACAUGGAAGGUUAAUUACAUAUUGAAAUAUUCUGACUUCUGAUAUAGUGAUCUGCAGAAGCAUAGGCUUCAGUCAACUUUCUAAAAUACAGAAAAUCCAACACCCAGUAUCAUCGAUUAUCCUAACUAGAGUGCAGUUCAGUGUGAUAUAGCUGCUGGCUGGGUGGUUUAUUCACAGACUAGUAGUGGAAUAAAAAAAAUGGUGAUAAGGUAUCUUGAUGCUGAUGUUAUACACACAUAUAACUGUUUUAAUCUUUCUACAAACAGUCAAGAUUGCAAAAACCACGUUCAAGGAAGAAAGAAGAUAUAGACAGCAGCUUUGUAGGUUGAAAAGGGAUUAAAACACCAGCCAAGAAAAAGUAAAAGAAACAUUGCAACAAAAUUUGCAAUAAGAAGGCAGCAAUAUUAAUAACCCUGCUUUCAGAAAGAGUGUACAUAGUCAAUUACCUAAUGAAAAGGCUAGAGAUGUCUGAUCAAUAAGUUUCCAUCAUUUCUCCUGGUUAUUGGGUCACAGCUUGUUGCAGAUGAGGCAGCGCAACCUCUUGGGACAGAGUACGUUCACUUGCUGUGCAGCCUUUCCUGCAUCCAACUACCCUUAGUGAUUAAACAGACUCUAAUUUAUCAAGCAUGGAGAUUAGUUGUAAUGAUCAACUUUAAUUCUAAUUUGGGUCCCUCAAAGAACUUACACAGAGCAAGGUAAACAUGAAGUGACUUGAUUCCAUCUUAGGAAAAACAAGCUCAUACUGGAAAAGAUUUAACAGACAUUAGCCUCCCCGAAAAAUACCACAAAAAAAAAAAAAAACAAAAACAAAAGGAAGUUGAUACAGAUGCAGGAUAGCCAUCAACGUGAAAAUUACCGGUACUGAUGUGUUCAUAUGAACUUAUGGUGCCCGUGUGAGCUUGGAAGAGAGAACCAACCACUCCCUUUCCUCCUGGUAAUAUCUUGCUGGUCACAGAGGUGUCAAAGGCAAGGACUGCAGCCAUGGAUCAACUGUUGUAGUGGCUGUGACUGACCAAAUCAGCUCACUAAGAUAAUCCGCCUAUAGGAAAAGAAAUGAAUCAGGGAAGGAUGAUCUGUGAGUGGUGUGGUUUUUAUUAUGAAAUAAAAGUUUGUUUUUGUAUUUUAAAAUGUUUUUUAAAAAUUUUAAUUUUGUUUUAAAUAAGUUUUUUUUAUGUUUUUAAAUAUGUUAAAAGUAAUUUUUAAAAAAAAUAUAUAUUAUUUUAAUAUAUUUUUAAACAAUAAAUACUUUAAAAAAUAACAUUAUUACACUAACAAAACAAAAUGAAAAAGCUUAAGAAAUAGCUAAUUAUCACUAAAAAGUGAAAGGGAGACAUCUUAAUGGCAAAGUGAUGGCUGAUGUGCCAAUGACAGCCAUGAAUACCACUUAUUGGGACUAUACAUAGACAAACAUCUGAUUGAUGAUGAUAGGCAGAGCUCAUGAAUAGCUUGAACCACAACCUUUUGAACAGUUCCAAGAUAUUUGAAAGUAUCUUGUGAGGUUGCAGCAAACUGGAUAAGCCACCCGUUCCGUCUUUUCCCUUUUGCAAGUAUCACAUGCUUAAUUGCUUACACAAACUAUUUAAAACUACUAAAGAAUUUUAAUAAAAGAAACGCCAGCUGAUUGCCAGUUUUGGCGAAACGUUCAAAAGGCUUUGGACAAGGUUGAAGUCGGAGACAAAUUCAAAGCUACAGUAGCCCUUAAUGCUGAUGUUUACAAAUCAUCUUCCAAUAACCCAUCUUCGACUGUUGGGAACGAGCCUUUCUUGUCAAGUUUUAAUAGCACUUGCGACAAUGUUACGUUUACGUUUCCACCAUUUCAAGACGUUCAUAAGGCUUAGGACAAUGAUGGAGUCAGAGACAAAAUCAAAGCUACAGCAGCCCUUAAUGCUGAUGUUCAUGAAUCAUCUUCCAACAAACAACCUGAUGGCAAUUUCCGUAACAACAUAAAGGAUGUCACGAUUCACACUGUGAAGUUCGUCAAAUUAAAGCUCAUAAUGGGAGAAGUUGGCUGGCCUACAGAUGGUAACAGUGCUGGCGAUUUGAAGAUCAUAAUGGGAGAAGUUGGCUGCCUACAGAUGGUAACAUUAAUGCCGACCCCAAAUUAGCUAAAACGUUCCAUGACGGUCUCUUUAAAGAAGGGAACCCCUGUCCGACGAGGUUAAUUGGAUGUGUAUCUCUUUGGCCUAAUCGAAGAAUCAGAAGAGCAUUGCACCAGGACAUUUCGAGAGACAUUGGGGGCUCUUUCGCUUCGAUGAACAGCUAAAAUUUCCAUGGAUUUAUCUGGACAAGGUGAUGAAGAGAUGCUAAUAGCAUCAUAUGGAGUCCAAUACAUGCCAUCUCAAUGGUGUGUGCUUGAUGAGGAAAAUAAGAACUUGACCAUGAUAAAAUUGAAAUCAGCUAUGCCCUGCUCUUUGGUCGUGAAUGUUGAAUAUUUAGAUAGCAUUUGGAAAUGCAGUUUUUUAAUUUUUUUAAUUUAAAAUUAUUUUUUUAUAUUUUGGAUUAUUUUGAUGUUAUGAUAUUAAAAAUUAUUUUUUAAAAAAUUAAAAUUAUUAUUUUUAUAUAUUUUUAUAUAAAAAGUAAUUUAUAAAAUAACAUCUAUCAUCUUCAAAUAUCUUCUUGCUAGAGCUCCGCCUUGGCAUGCAUGCCCACUAGGGGUGUUCACGGUUCGGUUCGGAUCGGUUUUUAUCAAAAAAAGUAACCAAACCGAAAUUUUUUUUUAAAAAAAAAAACCGAAACCGGUUCAAACCGACCGGUUUCGGUUCGGUUCGGUUCGGUUUUUUAGAGAAAAAACCGGUUCAAACCGGUUUGGCUCGGUUUUUCCGGUUUGGCUCGGUUUUUUCGGUUUGGCUCGGUUUGGCUCGGUUUUUUUCGGGUUCGGUUCGGUUCGGUUUUUCCGGUUCCAGGCUUAAAAAACCGAAACCGAACCGAACCGGUCGGUUUUUUCAAAAUUUUAAUCGGUUUAAUCGGUUUUUUUUUUCGGUUCGGUUUUUUUGGUUAUUUUUUUUCCGGUUUUCUCGGUUUAAUCGGUUUUUCGGUUUUUUUGAACACCCCUAAUGCCCACUACCCAUCUUUAUUAAUUGUGUCUAUGGUUUUGGUUAUCUUGUUUUUCUAUUUUUUUUUCUUGUAAAUGACAAGUUUCAUUAUGUAUUUUGUUUUUCAUUUAUAUAUGUUUUUAUAUUUUUCUCCAAAAUUUUAAAAUUAAAUAUUUAUUAUCAUAAAAUUUUAUUCUUGUCAAUUGUCAUAAUUCUUUGAAAAUUUUUGAAGCAUGUCAUUAUGCUUAAAGAUAUUUAAGUUUUUUAUUUAUAAAAAUAAAAUUACAUAUCUGAAAAUUUAUAUUUUUUUUAUUUUUACAAUCAUAAUUUCAUUUGAAUAAUUUAUAAUAAUGGUCGUAUAAAAAAAGAAUAGAUUAUAAUUAUAAAUUGUUUUAUAAAUGAGAAAAAACAUACAUUCAAAAAAGAUAUUAUGAAAUAUUUUUUGAAAGAAAAAACAAUUAAAGGUAAUUUUUUAAAUAUAUAAAGCACAAUUAAAUUUGAACUUUCUUGGAAGAUAAGCUAUAAAAAUAAAUUUAUUGAUCUUAAGAAUUAGCACAAGAAGAUUUAUUGACAAUUUAUCUUUAAAAAUUAAAUUUAUAGAUACUUCUUUCAACUUCCUCUUUCUCUUUCUAUUUUAAAGUUGUGUGGCACAAAAAUUACACGUUGAAGGAAAGAACGUGUGUAUAUCCUCUUUUUAAGUGUGUGUUUAGUAGUGCAUUAUAUGUUAUUUUUUAAAAGUAUUUUUAAUUUAAAAUAUAUUAAAAUAAUGUAUUUUUAUAUUAAUACAUUAAAAUUAUAAAAUAAAUUUAAAACAAAUAUUAAAUUAAUAUUUUUUUCAUAUAAAAAAUUGGCUUAACAAACAUUAUAAAAAAUAAAUCGAACCACAAAAACAAUAGCAGCCUUAAAUGCAACCAAACAUGCUUAAAGCAAGCAUUAGGUUUUAAUAAUAAUAAUAAUAAUAAGAAGCGAGCAAGGGUUGCAUACCCGAGCGAUGAUUGCAGACCCAGUUUCCAAACCCUCACCCCUAAGCUGCAGACCCACUUGCCAAGGUUUGCAGAACCCCGCGCUUGGGGUGUGCAGAACUAGGAGCGGGGUGUAGACCCACCCGUCUGGGUUUCUUCUAUUGCGCCUGAGGUCUGCAGACCCCCCAGGAGUUGUAGAACCCGUAGAGAAAAUUAACAAAUUUGAAAAAAAAAUGAAAACAAAUAUAAUAACUAAUAACAAUUAUUAUUGUUAUUGUUAUUGUUAUUAUUAUUAUUAUCGUAAAUAAAUUUUAUAAAAAUAUUAUUACUAUAAAAACUUGGACUAGACAAGUUUAAUAUUAUUAUUAUUAUACUAAAUAUUAUUGUUAUUUAUUGUUGUCAUUAGUAAAUUGAAAACAAAAUUAUUAUUUAUUGUUAUCAUUUCAGGUGGGGUUGAAUUUCCUUAUUAAAACAUGUUUUGUUUUGGUUUUUAAAAAUGCUUUGAAACAAAUUUGACAAUUUUUUAUUUUUUUCAUUACUUCAAAUUAAUAUUUUUUCUUUUAAUUCAUAUUAAGAUGUUUUUGUAUUAUUUUGAUGUGAUUAUAUAAAAAAUAGAUUUAAAACAAUAAAAAAUAUUAUCUCAAUAUAUUUCAAAAAAAAUAUUUUAAGAUAUUUUCAAUUUUAUUUUUUUCCCUCUUCAAAUAUUUUUUUCUCUUAUUGAUUUUUUUCAUACUGUAAAGAGAAAAUAAAUUAAUGUGACUUUUUUUUAUAUUAUACAAAAGUUGGGUGAUGAUAAUUUUUUUUCAUUUCAAGUUGGGUUGAAUUUUCUUAUUAAAGUAUGUUUGGUUUUGCGAUUCAAAAAUGGUUUGAAAAAAAUUUAAAUUUUUUUUAUUGUUUUCUUUACUUCAAAUUAAUAUUUUUUAUGUUUUUAUAUUUUGUUUUUAAAUAUAUUGAGAUUGAGUCUGGUUGCAUAGCCACACCAAAAAGAAUAUAUUAAGUUGGGUCCUAUCCAGCAGGACCCAAAAUAGCUUUGGGUCCAGCCGCCGCUGGACCCAUCAGCCUUGGGUCUUGUCCCUAACAGGAUCCAUCAGCGUUAAGUCCUGCUCCUAGCAGGACCCAUCACUAUUUUUUUUUUUUUCUUUUCUAUUGGGUCAGGCAUUUUCUUCCAGAACCAAGAAACUUGGGUAAGAAACGACGCCUCACCCAAGGAGCUUGGGUGUGGCUAGGCACAGACCCAAAUCCAAAUCCCUUUGGUCUUAAAGACCCGCCUGGCCCAAGAUUAUUGGUCCUUCGUCAGGACCUAAGGCUAAUGGGUUAUGCGUCAGGAAUCAAGGCUAAUAGGUCGUGAGUCAAAACCCAAUGUUCUUGGGUCCUGUGUCAGGACCCAAUUUCCUUAGGUUAUGUCAGGACCCAAAACUAAUGGAUGUGACAUCAAGACCCAAGAUUCUUGGAUCUUAGAUUUCUAAAUAUAAUUAUUUAUGAUAUAAAUAUAAUUAUUUUUAUUAUAAUUAAAAGUACUAAUAUUAAAAAUAGUAUUAUUUGUGAUAUAAAUAUUACUAUUUUUAAAAUAAUUAAUAAAUUUGAAAAACAUUAUUAUCAGUAUUGAAAAACAACUAUAGAUUUCAUUUGAAGUGUAAAAUAAUUAAUAAUAAUAAUAAUAAUUAAAUUUUAAAAAAAUAUUAUUAUUAUCGAAGAAAAAACAUAUUUUUUUUAAGAUUAAAAAAAUAAAAAAUUUGGCUGACAAGUUAAAUAUUAAUAUUAAUAUUAUAAAUAUUAUUGUUGGAUUUAGCGUUGCAGCCAGACGCAACGCUCAUGGGUUCGUCGUUGCAGCCAAACUCAACACUUUUAGAUCUUAGAUUUUUAUUAUAUCUUUUUAUUAAAAUAAAAGGUGAGCCCGGGCCGUAGUGCGGGCAAAUAAGAAAAAUGAAAAAAAUAUCAAUUAUUAUUAUUAUUAUUAUCGUUAAUAAACUUUUUUAAAAACAUUUUUACUAUAAAAAAUUUGGCCAGACAAGUUCAAUACUAUUAUUAAUAUGAUAAAUAUAAUUAUUUGUAUUCUAAAUAUUAUUAUUUUUAUUAUAAUUAAAAGUAUUAGUGUUAGAAAUAUUAUUAUUUGUGAUAUAAAUAUUAUGAUUUUUUUUAUAAUUAAUAUUAUUAAUAUUAAAAAUACUAUUUUUUAUUAUAAAUAUUAUAAUUUUUAUUAUAAUUAAUAUUAUUCUUAUAAUAAUUAAUAAAUUUGUAGAAAAUAUUAUUAAUAUUGAAAAAAAUAGAUUUAAUUUGAAGGGUAAAAUUAAGAAUUAUUAUUACUAUUAUUGUUGUUGUUAUUGUCAUUACUAGAUUUUAAAACAAAAUUACUAUUGUCAUAGAAGAAAAGCAUAAUUAUUUUUUAAAAGAUUGAAAAAUAUGAGAAUUUGGGCAGAGAAGUUAAAUAUUAUUAUUAAUAUUAUAAAUAUUAUUAAAUUCAUUAAUAUUAUUACAAUAAAAAUAAAUAUUAUUGCUAUUAAAGAAAACAUAGAUUUGAUUUGAAGGGUAAAAUCAAUUAUUAUUAUUGUUAUUGUUAUUGUUAUUAUUGUUAUUAUUAUUAUUAUUAUUAUUAUUAUUACUAUUAUUUUCUUCACUUCAAAUUAAUAUUUUUUCUUAAUUCAUAUUAAGAUGUGUUUGUAUUAUUUUGAUGUGAUUAUAUAAAAAAUAUAUUUAAAAAAAUUAAAAAAAUAUUAUCUCAAUAUAUUUUUUAAAAAUAUUUUAAGAUAUUUCCAAUUUUAUUUUUUACUCUCUUGAAAAAACAUUUCUUUUUUCUUAUUGAUUUUUUUUUCAAACUGUAAAAAAAAAUUAAAUUAAUGUGACUUUUUUUAUAUUAUACAAAAGUUGGGUGAUGAUAAUUAUUUUUUCAUUUCAGGUGGGGUUGAAUUUUCUUAUUAAAGCAUGUUUGAUUUUGGUUUUCAAAAAUGCUUUGAAAAACAUUUGACAAUUUUUAUUUUUUGUCUUUACUUCAUAUUAUUAUUUUUUCCUUUAAUUGAUAUUAAGAUAUUUUUGUAUUAUUUUGAUGUGAUUAUAUAUAAAAUAGAUUUAAAAAAUAAAAAAAAUUAUCACAAUAUAUUUUUUUAAAAAUAAAAAAUAUUUUAAGAUAUUUCCAAUUUUAUUUUUUUCCCUCUUGAAAUUUGUUUCUUUUCUCUUAUUGAUUUUUUUUUAUACUGUAAAGAGAAAAUAAAUUAAUAUGACCUUUUUUUAUAUUAUACAAAAGUUGGGUGAUGAUAAUUUUUUUUUUCAUUUCAAGUUGAGUUGAAUUUCAUUAUUAAAGCAUGUUUUGUUUUGCGUUUUAAAAAUGCUUUGAAAAAAAUCUGAAAUUUUUUUAUUGUUUUCUUUAUUUUAAAUUAAUGUUUUUUAUGUUUUUAUAUAUAUUUUUAUUUUGUUUUUAAGUAUAUUGAGAUUAGGUCUGGUUGCGCAGUUACAUCCAAUGAGAAUAUAUUAAGUUGGGUCUUGUCCCGAGAAGGACCCAAAAUAGCUUUGGGUCCAGCUGCCGCUAGACCCAUCAGCAUGGGUCCUACCUCUACAAGGACCCAUCAAUAAUUGUUUUUCAUUUUUUUUUUCUUUUCUCUUGGUUUGGGCAGUCUCUUCCAGACCCAAAAAACUUGGGACAGGAAAAGGAGGGCACACCCAAGGGAGCUUGGGUGUGGUUAUGGAGUAGACCCAAAUCCCUUAGGUCUACAACUCCGUUUGACCCAAUAUUAUUGGUCCUUCUUCAGGAUCCAAUUUUUUGGGUCCUGAGUUAGGACCCAAGGCUAAUGUGUCCUGCGUCGGGAUCCAAUGCUCUUGGGUACUGAGUCAGGAUCGAAUUCUCUUGGGCUGUGUUAGGACCCAAAGUUCUUGUGUCCAUCAUCAGAACCCAAGGCUAAUAAGUUCUGCAUUAUGACUCAUGGUUCUUGUGUGUUAGGUUUCUAAAUAUAAUUUUUUGUAUUAUAAAUAUUAUUAUUUUUAUUAUAAUUAAAAGUAUUAAUAUUAAAAAUAGUAUUAUUUGUGUUAUAAAUAUUAUUAUUAUUAUUAAAAUAAUUAAUAAAUUUAAAAAAAAUUAUUAUUUGAUUUGAAGUGUAAAAUUAAUAUUAUUAUUAUUAUUAUUAUUAUUAUUAUUAUUAUUAUUAUUAUUAUUAAAUUUUAAAAAAUUAUUAUUACUAUGAAAGAAAAACCAUAAUGUUUUUUUUUGAAAGAUUAAAAAAAUAAAAUUUUUGACAAACAAGUUAAAUAUUAUUAUUAAUAUUAUAAAUAUUAUUGUUGGGUUUUGCAUUACAGUCAGACUCAACGCUCUUAGAUCCGAUAUUACAGCCACACCCAACGUUUUUAGAUCUUAGAUUUUUAUGAUAUUUUUUUUAUUAAAAUAAUAGGUGAGCCCGCAGCAUUACUCUUACGUAAAAAUUAAUGAGUUAAAAUUGAAAAUGGGUUUGGAUUUCCUUAAUUUUACCCUGGAUUGGAUUAUGUGAAAAAAAAUUAAAAAGUUACCCUAAAUUUUAUAAGUUUAUAAUACUUUAAAUUAAUAAAAAAAAUUAAAGUAUUAUAAGUUUGUCAUUAUAUUAUAUGUUUCACGUCAUUUGGGUUGCCAUUGUCAAAACCAUAGUUAUUAAACCCGGCCCGGGGUUGACCCGGCCAAGAGGCCGGGUCCCGGGUUUCAUAGGUCAACCCGGAAAAAUUAAAAAAAAAAUUAAAGUUUUAAUAUUUCAUAUGAAAAAAUCCAUGUAAAUAUAAAUUAUACAUAUUGUAAACAAUGAAGUUUAAAAGAAUAUUUUAAAAAGGUUUUUAUCCCACAUAAAAAAAAUAUUAUGUUAAGUUUUUAAGUUGAAGUAUUUAAACUAAAAACGUUUUUUAUCCCACAUUGAAAAAACAUGAUUUUUUACUUGGGAACAUAAAGUAUAUAUAACAAUGGGUUUCAAAUCUCACAUUUAAAAAAAAAAACUGGAUCUCGUUCAAGUUUAUCCGGGUCGCCUGAGUCAUGAGUUGACCUGCCGGGUCACCCGGAUUUAGCUGUACUGUUGCCCCAACCAGUCUUUUACUAAACCAAGUAGCAGGGCCAAGUCCUCUUCCUUCGACAUCGAAGCUUCUAUAUGCUUCAAUGCUGUUGAAUUUGCCGACGGCUGUUUUUAAUGAUUCAAUAAUUUAUUAUGAAGAUUAAAUUGCUUGUCACUUAAUGUAAACGGUCUAAAUACAAAUUGCUUAUCGGGAUUCAAACAAUUUUAUCUUAAAAUAUUGCACUAUAAAUCAUGACCUAUAAAUAUUUAAAUUUUUUAAGAUUAAUUUUUUAUUUAUUUAUAAUUAAUUUUAAAUUUAUUAUUUUUUAUAUUAAAAUAAUUAAUUAAUUUGACAAAUUUGUUUAUUAAAUGAUUGUAUCGUUCUUCUGCAUAGAGUCAAAGAUGGCCACCUAGGAAGAACGUCGUUGAAAUGGAUUUUUCACCCUUCAAAUUAAAUUAAAUUAUAAAUAAAUAAAUAAAUCUCAGACACGUGCUUGACUAAGUUUAUUCAUUGGAAUGGUGCGUUCGCAGAUUUGCCCUUGCACUGAAAUAUUGAGGUCAAUUUAGUCUUUUCACGGGAUCCAAAUUAAUCUCAGACACGUACACUUACAAGCAAAAACAAUUAACUUGUAUUCAGGUGCUUUUUUAUCUUUUUAAACUGAUUUUUUUUAUUAUAAUAAAGUUAAUUUACAAGCAAUUUGAUUAUUUAAUAAAUCUAUUUAUAUUAAAAAAAACCUGGCACGUGGGCUUUUCUUAUGCUAUUUGUGUGGCUGGUACCAUGAUGUUUGGAAGGCAAAUAGUGGUUUUCAAGGCGGUGUUGAAAUCGUCUUGACAGUUCUUUCAUGUUUAGGUUACGCUUGUGGUCAACCAAUCUAAGAUUUAGUGCUAAUAACUUUCUUUUUUUCCUUCUUGAUUUCUGCACUUGACCCUCUGAAAUUUAAAACCAGCCUUUCAAAUUAUUUUUUCUUGGAAUUUGAUCUCUUUUCUUGUAAUUAUUAUUUGUUUUAUUUGAAAUAAUUUAUAGAAUUAAAAUUUUUUUCAACUUCAUCAUCCUUCAACUUUUUCAUCUAUUAAAUUUGGUCCUUAUUUAUUCAUUUUAGAUGGUUUUUAGAAUUAAUUUUUUUUCAUGAUUUUAUUCUCCAAUUUUUUUCUAUCAAAUUUUAUCCUCAUUUUCUCCUUUAUUUAAGCUCGGAUCUCUUUAGCUUCAUCAUUCGGUAUUUAUUUAAUAAGAGAUUAGACUCCGUUAUUUUUUUAUUUUAUUUCUAUAGAAACUUUCAUUGGUUAUGAAAAUAACGUGGGUUAUAUUGAGUCUUUUUAUUUGUUGCUCUUUGUUAAAUUUAGCUUUUUUUGAGAAAUUUAAUUUUUUAUUAAAUUAAAUUAAUUAAUUAAAUAUAAGCAUGAAAUGCUCAUUUCAUGAUAUUUUACUUGGUUUUAUUUCUGGUGAUAAGACGGUGUUCACAGACUUUUCCUUCAUUUGCUAUUGGGUCUUAUAUUGGUAACUCAUUUUUUAUAGUUAACUAUUGCAAAAAAAAAUUAUUUUAUUUACCGUUGAUAUCUUUUUUAAUCAUAUUAUUAAAUUAAUCAAGCUUAUUGAAUCAAGUCAAAUUAAUUACCUAAAUCUCAAAUUUGUUUUGCUUCUUUAAAAAUGUUGGCGCCCUUGAAUAUUUUUUUUUGUCAAUUUUUUUUUUAUAUAUCUAUUAUCAUUGUAUUUUUUUUACUCGUAUUAUUUAAAUUAAUCUAACUUAUUAAUUCCCAUAAAAAAUGACUGGAGUCUCAUUAACUUUUUAAAACAUUUUAGAAACAAUUGUGCCAUCUUAGCAUCUUUUUUACCGUUAAAAAAAAAAACUUCAGCCUAUGCAAGCCAUCCAUCUAGUUUCAAUCUAGUACCCCAUUUCCAUUGCUCAUAAGAAUCAGGCUUGAACAUCCUUUUAUUUUGGUUUAGAUAAAUUAAAGAAAUGCCAUUGCAGUGCUCUUUGUUACUUCAAUCUUCUUUUUACCCUAAACUAAGUAGAGUUCCUUCAACACUUUAAAUCUGUGAACAAACUAGGGAAUUCUGGAAAACCAGGUCUGAAUCUGGACACUUGCGCACCGCAUGUCCGAGCAACAGAGGUUUAAAACUAUUGAUUCAAUCUUCAAUAUUCAGUAAAAUGAUAAUUAUUUUGGAAGUCCAAUUAGUAAUAGAAUUUAUUUCUUGCCAUAGAAGAUUUUAGAAUUUUAUUUUCAUUGACCUUGUAUCCACUUUGAAAAGUAGUUUUCCCUAUUUUUUUCCAAGAAAAAGCUUUGAAGAAGGUUCGAAUGCGCCCAAGUCAUAGCAAUGUGACGAGAAUUGUUUAUAAUUCAGUCUUUAGACUGAGGAUUUGAAACUGUAACAACAAUUAAGGAGAAACUCGAAGCGAAAAAAGUUUGUUUUCUUUUACCAAUUAAUGUGUAACUGAAGAAGCAAAAGCAAUCUUCUGCACGUUCUUAUGAUGAUUGCAUCGUUCAAAUCAUUGCACUUUCUACUCGGCCUGUUUGUUUCCUUGAAGCUCUUGGCCUUAGCUCAAGAGGAAAACCACUUCAUCUAUCAUGGCUUCACUGGCGCCAACCUGCUCCUCAGCGAGAAUGCAAAAAUCGAUCCAAAUGGUCUCUUAGAGCUGACAAACACUUCAAAACGGCAAAUUGGCCGUGCUUUCUUCCCAUUCCCUUUUCAGUUCAACACAUCUUUAUUCAACAAUUCUCGGUCUCUCUCGUUCUCUACCCAGUUUGCGUUUGCCAUGGUCCCUGAGCUGCCUACACUUGGUGGCCAUGGCAUGGCCUUCACAAUCUCUCCAUCUGUGGACUUCACAGGGACUAUGGCAACUCAAUACUUUGGAAUCCUCAAUUCUACAAGCAAUGGCCUGUCUUCAAACCAUCUAUUGGCAGUUGAGCUGGAUGCAGUUCCAAGCCCGGAUCUUAAAGACAUCAAUGACAACCACGUUGGAAUUGAUGUAGACAGCUUGAUAUCCAUUGAAUCUGCUCCUGUGACCUACUUUUCAGAUAAGGAAAAGGAGAAUAAGAGCUUGACUCUCACAAGUGGUCACGUGAUGCACGUGUGGAUAGAUUAUGAUGAAGUAGAGAAGCUACUCAAUGUUACCGUUGCUCCUGUCACAAGAACAAAACCAACCUUGCCUCUCUUGUCAACAUCUCUCGAUCUUUCUUCUGUUAUGUUGGAUUCUAUGUACGUUGGUUUUUCUGCAUCUACUGGAGCAGUGGCUAGCAGCCACUAUAUUCUGGGGUGGAGCUUCAACAGAGGCGGACAAGCUCAAAGUCUUGACGCCUCAAAGAAAAUCCAGAAAGAAACCAUAUUUAAGAAUUCUGGUCCCAACAAUAACAGCAAUCAUUUUGCUGGUAGCAUUCUCUGGUGCUGCUUAUAUCAUAAGGAGGAAGAAAUAUGAAGAACUGCGCGAAGAUUGGGAACAGGAGUAUGGUCCUCAAAGAUUCUCCUACAAGGAUUUAUACAAAGCAACUACAGGUUUCACGGACAGGAAGUUGCUGGGAAGUGGAGGUUUUGGAAAGGUUUACAGAGGAGUAUUGCCUUCUUCCAAUAUGCAAGUCGCGAUCAAGAAAGUAUCCCAUGAUUCCAAACAAGGAACUAAGCAGUUUGUUGCUGAGAUUGCUAGCAUGGGAAGGCUGAGGCACAGGAACUUGGUCCAGCUCCUAGGCUAUUGCCGGAGAAAGGGAGAGCUCCUCUUGGUCUAUGAUUACAUGCCCAAUGGAAGCCUUGAUAAACUCCUAUUUCGCAAUGACACACCCAGCCUUAAUUGGGUUCAGCGAUAUCAGGUCCUCAGAGGAGUUGCGUCCGCCCUUCUUUACCUCCAUGAAGAGUGGGAACAGGUUGUUCUGCAUAGAGAUGUGAAAGCUAGCAAUAUACUGUUAGAUGAUGAUUUCAAUGGUCGACUAGGAGAUUUUGGGCUUGCUAAAUUCUAUGAUCGUGGGGCUAAUCCUCAAACAACCUGUGUGGUUGGAACAGUUGGAUAUAUCGCGCCAGAGGUUACUAGAACAGGAAGGGCCACUACCAGCAGUGAUGUUUUUGCUUUUGGCACUUUUAUGCUUGAAAUGGCUUGUGGAAGGAAACCUUUACAGCCAGAACAAUCAGCAGAAAAGAUGAUUUUGGUUGACUGGGUUCUUGAUUCCUGGAAAAUAGGAGACAUUCUUCGAACAGGUGAUCCAAGAUUGGAAGGUAAUUACGAGGUGGAGGAAAUGGAAUUGGUUUUAAGGCUAGGUCUGCUUUGUUCUUUCUCUACACCACAAGCUAGGCCAAGCAUGAGGCAAAUUGCGCAAUAUCUGGAUGGGAAUGCUAGCCUGCCAGAGAUGCCGCUUGAUGUUGCUAGCAUAGGUUUGAUGCCAGUUAGUCAUGAAGAGCCUGGGGGUUUCAACUUGUCUUUCCAUAGAUCUAAUGAUUACUCUGCUCAUUCCUUCUCUAGUACCGACUCAAUCCUCAGCUGUGGUCGUUGAAUCAUGGCUAGAUGAGGUAAAAAUUCUUUAACCUCAAGACUAACAGCUGGCAUGUGGCAAGCCUGGUAUUAGUGGUGAAGAGGAAGGUAGAUUGGAAUACUUAGAAGGUUUGUGCAUGCCGUAGUAAUCCUCAAAGCACCACAAAGACUGCUCCAUGAGGGGUUAAUUAAUUAGCAUAGACCCAAAGUUUGGGUUUUGAGUCACGAUGUAAUUCUUUUUGGCUGUGUCAGGAUACAAAGUUCCUGGGUCGUCAUCAAGACCCAAAGCUAAUAAAUUUUAUAUUAGAAUUUAAGAUUUUGAAUCUUAGGUUUUUAAAUAUAAUUUUUUAUAUUAUAAAUAUUAUUAUUUUUAUUAUAAUUAAAAGUAUUAAUAUUAAAAAUAGUAUUAUUUGUGUUAUAAAUAUUAUUAUUAUUAAAAUAAUUAAUAAAUUUGAAAAACAUUAUUAUCAAUAUUGAAAAACAACCAUGGAUUUGAUUUAAAGUGUAAAAUUAAUAAUAAUAAUAACAACAAUUAUUAUUAUUAUUAUUAUUAUUAUUAUUAUUAUUAUCAUUAAUAAAUUUUAAAAAACUAUUAUUACUAGAAGAAAAACCAUAAUUGUUUUUGAAAGAUUAAAAAAAAUUAAAAUUUUGGGAAACAAGUUAAAUAUUAUUAUUAAUAUUAUAAAUAUUAUUGUUGUGUUUUGCAUUGCAACCGAACUCAACGCUCUUGGAUUCGAUGUUAUAGUCACACUCAAUGUUUUUAGAUCUUAGAUUUUUAUGAUAUUUUUUUAUUAAAAUAAUAGGUGAGCCCGCGGCAUAGCGUUGGCCACCUAACUAGUAAUUACUAAUUCUUAAGUGUUCUAGCUUAAGUAAAAAUUAAUGGGUUAAAAUUGAAAUUGGAUUUGGAUUUCCUUAAUUUUACCCGAGUUACUGGAUUGGAUUAUGUAUAAAAAAUUAAAAAGUUACCCUAAAUUUUAUAAGUUUAUAAUACUUCAAAUUAAUAAAAAAAUUAAAGUAUUAUAAGUUUGUCAUUAUAUUUUAUUUAACUAAAAUCCGGAUACAUCAAAUUAACAAAAAUGCUACUAUACGCACAUCAUCAAGAACAAUCAUCAUUGGGGCUCUAAUUCUCCAUUCAAAAUGCAAAUUCCGUUUUGGGACCAAAUCAUUGCCCAUUCUUCCAUCAUCCCCUCCAUGACCCCUUGUUUAUCUGUUGGCCAUAAGAUCCAUGUUAUUAUCUCUUUCGCGACGCAUUCUCAAGAACCGAAACCUCAAAUCGAACCACAAGUUGCAAAGCCGAAGAGGAAAAGAAAAGCAAAAGCAGGGAGUCCUUAAGUUUCAAACAAAAGAAGAGAUUUUGAGUCGUGGGGCUUUUCACUUCAUGAUCCAAGGUUUUACCUUUAUUUUUGUUUCAGGUCAUUUGGGUUGUCAUUGUCGAAACCACAAGUAGCAGGGCCAAGUCCUCUUCCUUCGACAUCAAAGCUCCUAGAUGCUUCAAUGCUGUUGAAUUUGCCAACGGCUGGUUUAGAUGGCAGUGAGAUAGGGUUUUGCACUGCUACUACAUUCUUCUAUUAAGGGAAAGGCAUUUGUGGCUCACCUACGUUUGUCAUGUCCGUAACAGAGGCAUAAGAUGAGGUGCGGUGCCUGCACAAUCUGGUCCCAACAACAACAGCAAUCAUUUUGCUGGUAGCAAUCUCUGGUGCUGCUUAUAUAAUGAGGAAGAAAUAUGAAGAACUGCGCGAAGAUUGGGAAUGUCACGACCCGAUUCCCGGAUCCAUGACCGCCACAUAGAUAAGGUUCCUCUCCAAGGUUCCAUACCUAUGCGAACCCAAACUUACAUACAAUCUUAUCCUUUAAACAAUUUAAUCAGAGUUCAACCCAGCAUUAACAACAAACUAAUUUUAUAAUAUAAUUUAAUUGUCUUAAUACAAGAGUUAAUAUAAUUUUAUAGUUUUGGAGCACUAACUAGACAUAAAGGAAAAUGUACAAAUUACAACCAAAAGAGCAGGUUUUGAAGAUCCAACAAAAGUGACCUAUUAUCAAGCUAUAAGCCUGAAAAGGUAAAUAAUGAGAGGUUGAGUUCAACAACUCAGUGAGUAGAUAACGUUCAAUAUACACACACGAGGUAAUACAACAAUGAGAAAUAUAUAUACAAGUAUGACUUUAGGUUCUUAUAUAAAUGUUUUUCAAAAUGGCCAUAAUAAGAAGAUCAUAUGGUAAAACUCGUCAGAAAAUCAAAAUGCAAUGAGCAUGAGGCUCCGUACUGUAGGAUGAUCAGUCCACACAGGUUGGUGACUCCCCCGACCAACUAGGGUUCAGAUACGAUGUGCACAAAGACUAACACUACCAUGUUAGCAUGGGUAUUCUGACUGACAUACCAUAAAUUCAUAAUCAUAAUCAAACAGACAUAUUCAUAUCUCAAGGCUCAGCUCAUGACAUCAAUCAAAUGAGGAGCUAUCAAUUCAGAAGUCAAUUCAAAAUAUAUACUGGUUUAUAUCCAGAAUUCAGAUUCAACAAUUGAUCAUAUAUAUAUAUAUAUAUUAUCAAGAAGCAUGAUCCAAUUCAUAAUAACAAAUCAAAUAUUUAUAAUAUUUCUCAUGUAUAUGAAAAAUUAUCCACUCACCUGACUCGAAAGCAAAUAGCACUCAAAAGCCGAUACCGAAGGUAAUCCCACUAAUGUCCCGCUGGUAGAAUAUCAUGAUUAUCUGAUUACAAAGGAGACAUAUUCAAGAAUGACUCAAAAGAAUAUAUAUAACCUAUUUAAUACACUUAUCUAAGGGUGUAUUCCAUAACUCUAUAUGUUUUUAGACUAAACUAGUUAUUUUCCCAGAAACCCAAAAAUUAACGGUUUUCCUGAAAUAUAAUCCAUAAUAAAACAAAUAAUAAAAUUGAUAAUAAUUCACUAUAUAACCCUCAAUUAUUCAUCAAACCAAUCUGCAAAAGCUAAUAUUACAGCUAUGGACCAAUUUGUAAUUUAUCAUAUUUCUAAGGGUCAAAUUGUAACUUUUGUCAAAUUGAAGGACCAAACUAAAAAUAUCAUAAAUUUAUCACUAUACUGAAAUUCUGACCAUAAUUAAUCCUCAAUUCUGUCCAGAAUAUCUCAUUAUGCUCCAGGGACCAUUCUGGAAUUUUACCAAAUUGUUAGGGUCAAAUUGUAAUUUUUGUCAAAUUGAAGGACCAAAUUGAAAGUGUUAAAAUUUCAUAACUAUACAGGAAUUCUGCCCAUGAUUUAUCUUUUGUUCUGUUCAGAAUCUCGAAAUAUGCUCAAGGGACCAAUCUGUAAUUUUCCCAAGUUUGGGGAAAAACUGUAAUUUUCACAAAUUGAGGGACCAAACAAAAUUUUGUCAUCUUCAACCUCAAACCCAGAAUUUUCACAGAUUACCUACUGUUCUUUCCAGAUUUCUAACUCAAAAUUCACCAUUUACACAAAUCAUCAUCUUUACCUACAAUCUCUCAAAAUCAACUAAACAAUCCAUUACCCACAACAAUCAACCCAUAACAUUCAAAUUAAUUCAUCAAUUAAACCCAAAACAAAAUCUUCAAAACCCUAACAUUCAUCAAAACCGAAAUUUAAAGCUUAUAUAACACAUAUUUAUACAUAAUCUUACCUUUAAACUUAUUUCCUCCAACUCAUUUCUAAUUUUCUUCUAAUUUUCUUCUUUUCUCUUUUUCUUCUUCUUUCUCCCUUCUCUCCUGCCGUCCCUCACACUGAAAUUUCAGAUCCCUCUUUCCCUUUUUUUUUUUUACUUUCUAUUUAUAUUUAUCAUCUCUUUAUUCAAUUACUACUAUACCCUUCAUUAAUUUAUUCCUACAUCUAAGCCUUCAAGGCUUUGUAGUCUUUUCCUAUCUCUUUUAAUUCAAAACAUUACAGGGAACAGGAAUAUGGUCCUCAAAGAUUCUCCUACAAGGAUUUAUACAAAGCAACUACAGGUUUCACAGACAGGAAGUUGCUGGGAAGUGGAGGCUUUGGAAAGGUUUACAGAGGAGUAUUGCCUUCUUCCAAUAUGCAAAUCGCGACCAAGAAAGUAUCCCAUGAUUCCAGGCAAGGAAGUAAGGAAUUCGUUGCUGAGAUUGUUAGCAUGGGAAGGCUGAGGCACAGGAACUUGGUCCAGCUCUUCGGCUAUUGCCAGCGAAAGGGAGAGCUCCUCUUGGUCUAUGAUUAUAUGCCCAAUGGAAGCCUAGAUAAACUCCUAUUUCGCAAUGAGACACCCAGCCUUAAUUGGGCUCGGCGAUAUCAAAUCAUCAGGGGAGUUGCGUCUGCCCUUCUUUAAAGGGCACGUUUGGGAACGCGGCUGCGGCUGCGUUCCUAAAAUUUGAAAUUUUUUUUUUUUUUUUACUAAAAUUUAAUAUGGUUUGGAUCGUUUUGAUGUGCUGAUGUCAAAAAUGAUUUUUAAAAAAUUAAAAAACAUCAUUGGCAUGCAUUUUGGCACAAAAAGUUAUUUGAAAAGCACCCGCAAUCACACUGUAAAAAAUGCUCUUUACCUCCAUGAAGAGUGGGAACAAGUUGUUCUGCAUAGAGAUGUAAAAGCUAGCAAUGCUUCAUGGAGGAUUGAUUACGUAAAUAUGUACAUUAAGACUUGUUCGAUGUGAAAUAUAGAGGAAGGUGCCACAGAAUUUUGAAGAUUGUAGCGUUUCUGCAAUUUUUUUCCAGCCACUUUGUCUUGUGAGCUCUUACCAUAGAACAGUCACCCUCCCUGCAGACCGUAAGCCCAGAGGUAAGGAGGGCUUCUAUACAAAUAUUUCUUAACUAGCAGAAUUAAUAGAUUUAUGGAAACAUAUAACAAAUUCUAUUUAAACUUAGCAUGCAUUGCCAAUCGAUCCUGGUUGAUUAUUGUGAUAUUUGUUGAUUAAAGUCAAUCGAUGAUGGUUGAUUUAUGGUUUAUCAAGUUAGUUUUGGAUUGAUGUCUUAAACAUCAAAUAAAUAAUAAAUUAUAUAAACAAAAUAGAUGUAUUUACUUGCUAAAGAAUUAUAUACAAACAAAGAAAGCAGGUUAUGUUGCUGUAAAUUAAUGAUUCAAUUAUUUAUUAUAAAUGUUAAAUUUCUUGUUUUAAUGUAAACAGUCUCAAUAUAUAUAAACUGCUUUUCAGGAUUCAAAUAACAUUACUUUAAAAUAUUGCACUAUAAAUCAAGGCCUAAAUGUUUUUAAAAAAUAAUAAUUAAAUGACCUCACUAAUCAAGCGUAUUAAUUCAUGUAUUGGUAAAAAAUAUUUUAUAAUUAACUCAAGUUCUAGUCAAGCACGUCAUUUAAGCUCAAAAUCUACAUUGUCUAGAGUCUCUCUCGUCUAAAAACUUUUGUGUGUUAUAAGCUAAUUUAAAUAUUCAACUUCUUACUAUAUAAGUUACAAGAUCUUAUAAUCUUUCAAUUUAGAAUUAAUGUUAUUUAAAUUUUUUAAUAUUAAUUUCUUAUUUAUUCAUAAUUUAUUUUAAACAUAUUAAUUUUUAUGUUAAAAUAAUUAAUUAAUUUGGGGAAUAUUUUUUAAAAAUGGUUGGUUAAUUCAAAUGAUCCCCAUAAAUCUUGUCAUUGUUUCUUAAAAUUGAUAAAAUUAUAGAACUCAAAUCCUACUUAAUCAAAAAAGAAAAAAAAAAAAAAGGACGAGAGCUAAAUGGCCAGAGGCAUAAGUGGAGCGGAUUUAAGGAUAAGCGUAUGAUAAGAAUAAUUCGUGUGCUAUGUAUGCAUCUUACCACUAGGAGACGGGACGAGAGCCACGCCAACACAUUAGGUGUUACUUGCUCCACCUCAAGCUUCUUUCUUAGCCAUUAAGUGUCGGUUACGAUUUUUAUAAGUGUCGUAAUCGUUGUUUUUAAAGUAUUUUUAAUUUAAAAAUAUAUUAAAAUAAUAUUUUUUUAUUUUUUAAAAAUUAUUUUUUAUAUCAACAUAUAAUAAUAAUCUAAAAAUAAAAAAAAAUAUUAAUUAUAAAUAAAGCCCUGUGGUUACUCAUAUGAUGGCCACUGGAGGCUUACAUGGUCGUUAACUUCAGGACCCGUGAGAUUAGUCAAGGUGCGCGCAAGCUGGCCCGGACACCUACGUUAAACUAAAAAAAAAAACCCAAAGUAGACUAAAAAUUUAGAGUUAGCAUUGAGACUCAAUCAGAGAGCCCACUUCGACCAUCCUUCAAAGAUUAGAGUUGUUGAUAAAUUGACUGGAUAUUUGGAGUUUGGUUGUGAUUGUUUUUUGAAAUAUUUUUUAUUUAAAAAUAUAUUAAAAUAAUAUUUUUUAUUUUUUAAAAAAUAUUUUUAACAUCAAAAUGAUCUAAAAACACUAAAAAAUAUUAAUUUAAAGUAAAAAAAAUAAAAUAAAAAUUAAUUUUUUUUAAAACUAUUUUUAAAAUACAAGAAUAAAUAAUACAUUUGCAUUAAAGACAGAAUUGUCAUUUUCAAUUAGCUAUCAAUAUUUAACAAGGAGCAGUGCUUUUUCUAAGAUGGGAUCGUUCUUUUGUAUAAAGUCAAAGAUGGCCACCUAGAAAUAACGUCUUUGAAAUGGAAUUUUCGUGUUAUGGUCACCCUUUAAAUUAAAUUAAAUUAAAAAUAAAUAAAUAAAUGCCGACACAUACUUGACCAAGUUUAUUCAUUGGAAUGGUGCAUUUGCAGAUUUGCCCUUAUGCACUGAAAUAUUGAGGUUUAAUUUAGUCUGGGAUCCAUUUAUCUUUAUCAAAUUCAUCAAGAGCAAAAAGAUCUUCACAUGUUAUUUUUUUCACUCUAAAAUGACAAAAAAGCCUUUAAGAGAAAGGAAUUAUUAAACUAGUUUUCAAGGGCUUAUUUGUCCUUACACUUUCUUAACCGUAGUAAAAAACUGAUGUACACUUGCAAGCAAAAAUAAUUAACCUGCAUUGGCUUUUUCAUCUUUUCAAACUAGUAUUUUUUAUUAUAAUGAAGUUGAUUUAAAUGUAAUUUUAUCAUUUAAUAAAUAUAAAUAUUAAAAAAACAAAUGGACACAUGAGCUUUUUCUAGUGUUAUUUGUGUGGCCUGAAAGAUGAUGUUUGGGGCAAAUAGUGGCUUUCAAGAUAGUGUUGGAAUCGUCUUUACAGACCCUCUAUGUGUAGGCUAUAUUUAUGGCCAACUAAUCUAAGAUUUGGCAUUAAUGAUUUUUUUUUCUUCUCCUCAAUUUCCACACCUGACCUUCUAGAUUUUAAAAUCAGCCUUUCAAUUUGUUUUUUCUUUGAGUUUGGUCUCUUUUCUUUUUAUUACUAUUUGUUUUAUUUGAAAUAAUUUAUAAAAUUGGAAUUCUUUUCAACUUGAUCCUCCCUCAAUUUUUUCAUCUAUUAAAUUUGAUCAUCAUUCUUUUGAUUGAUAUUUAUUUGUUUUAAAUGGUUUUUUAAAUUGAACUUUCUUUUUUUACGAUUUUAUCCUCCUUCAAUAUUUUUCCUAUCAAAUUUUAUCCUCAUUUUCUCAUUCUUUUUUUUUAAGCUCGUGUUUCUUUAGUUUCAUCAUUCGAUAUUUAUUUAAUUAGAGAUUGGGCUCCGUUAUUUUUUUAUUUUAUUUUAGUAAAAACUUUCAUUGGUUUUAAAAAUGACAUGGGUUGUCUUGAGUUUUUUUAUUUGUCACUCUUUGUUAAAUUUAGCCUUUUUUUGGGGAAAUUUUAUUUUUUCUUAAAUUAAAUUAAAUUAUUUGAUUGAAUAUAAGCAUGAGUUACUCACUUCAUGAUAUUUUAUUUGGUUUUCUUUCUAGUGGUAAGGCGGUGUCCACGGUGAAAUGAUGAUGAAUCCCCAACAAGCUUUUCCUUCAUUUGCUCUCGGGUAUUAUAUUGGCAACUAUUUUUUUAUAGUUAACUAUUGCCAAAAAAAUUUGUUUUAUUUCCCAUCAAUAUUAUUAAAUUAAUCGAACUUAUUAAAUCCAAAUUUGUUUUGCUUUUUUAAAAACAUUGGCGCCCUCGAACAUUCUUUUUUUUUUUUGUCAAUUUGUUUUUCAAUUUAGCUAUUAUUGUUGCAUUUUUUAUUUGUAUUAUUUAAAUUAGCUUAGCUUAUUAAUUCCAGAAAAAAAAUGACUCAAGUCUUAUAUUUUUUUUUUACUUUUUAGAAACAAUUGUGUCGUCUUAGCAUCUUUUUUAACAUUAAAAAAAAAAUUCAGCCAGCACAAGCCACCCAUCUAGUUUGCAAUCUACGACCCCAUUUCCAUUUGCUCAUAAGAAUCAGGCUUGAACAUCCUUUUAAGUUUAGAUAAAUUAAAGAAAUGCCACCCAGUGCUCUUUGUCACUUCAAUCUUCUUUUUACCCUAAAUUAAGUACAGUUCCUUCAACACUUCAAAUCUGUGAACAAACAGAGAUUUAAAACUAUUGAUUCAAUCUUCAAUAUUCAGUAAAAUGAUAAUUAUUUUGGAAGUCCAAUUAGUAAUAGAAUUUAUUUUCUUGCCAUAGAAGAUUUUAGAAUUUUAUUUUCUUUGACCUUGUAUCCACUUUGAAAAGUAGUUUUCCCUAUUUUUUUCUAAGAAAAAGCUUUGGAGGGUUCGAGGGGCCCAAGUCAUAGCAAUGUGACGAGACUUGUUUAUAAUUCAGUCUUUAGACUGAGGAUUUGAAACUGUAACUGAAGAAGCAAAUAAGGAGAAACUCGAAGCGAAAAAAGUUUGUUUUCUUUUACCAAUGUGUAACUGAAGAAGCAAAAACAAUCUUCUGCACGUUCUUAUGAUGAUUGCAUCGUUCAAAUCAUUGCACUUUCUACUCGGCCUGUUUGUUUCCUUGAAGCUCUUGGCCUUAGCUCAAGAGGAAAACCACUUCAUCUAUCAUGGCUUCACUGGCGCCAACCUGCUCCUCAGCGAGAUUGCAAAAAUCCAUCCAAAUGGUCUCUUAGAGCUGACAAACACUUCAACACAGCAAAUUGGCCGUGCUUUCUUCCCAUUCCCUUUUCAGUUCAACACAUCUUUAUUCAACAAUUCUCGGUCUCUCUCCUUCUCUACCCAGUUUGCGUUUUCCAUGGUCCCGGAGCUGCCUACCCUUGGUGGCCAUGGCAUGGCCUUCACGAUCUCUCCAUCUGUGAACUUCACAGGGGCUUGGGCAACUCAGUACUUGGGAAUCCUCAAUUCUACAAGCAAUGGCCUGUCUUCAAACCAUCUAUUGGCAGUUGAGCUGGAUGCAAUUCGAAGCCUGGAUUUUAAAGACAUCAAUGACAACCACGUUGGAAUUGAUGUAAACGACUUGACAUCCAUUGAAUCUGCUCCGGUGACCUACUUUUCAGGUGAGGAAAACGAGAAUAAGAGCUUGGCUCUCAUAAGUGGUCUUGUGAUGCACGUGUGGAUAGAUUACGAUGAAGUAGAGAAGCUACUCAAUGUUACGGUUGCUCCUAUCACAAGAACAAAACCAACCUUGCCUCUCUUGUCAACACCGCUCGAUCUUUCUUCUGUUAUGUUGGAUUCUAUGUACGUUGGUUUUUCUUCAUCUACUGGAGCAGUGGCUAGCAGCCACUAUAUUCUGGGGUGGAGCUUCAACAGAGGCGGACAAGCUCAAAGUCUUGAUGUGUCAAAGUUGCCUUCACUUCCCCAUCAAAGAAAAUCAAGGAAGAAAUCACAUUUAAGAAUUCUGGUCCCAGCAAUAACAGCAGUCAUUUUGCUGGUAGCAAUCUCUGGUGCUGCUUAUAUAAUAAGGAGUAAGAAAUAUGAAGAACUGCGCGAAGAUUGGGAACAGGAGUAUGGUCCUCAAAGAUUCUCCUACAAGGAUUUAUACAAAGCAACUACAGGUUUCACGGACAGGAAGUUGGUGGGAAGUGGAGGUUUUGGAAAGGUUUACAGAGGAGUAUUGCCUUCUUCCAAAAUGCAAGUCGCGAUCAAGAAAGUAUCCCAUGAUUCCAUACAAGGAACUAAGCAGUUUGUUGCUGAGAUUGUUAGCAUGGGAAGGCUGAGGCACAGGAACUUGGUCCAGCUCCUAGGCUAUUGCCGGAGAAAGGGAGAGCUCCUCUUGGUCUAUGAUUACAUGCCCAAUGGAAGCCUUGAUAAACUCCUAUUUCGCAAUGACACACCCAGCCUUAAUUGGGUUCAGCGAUAUCAGGUCCUCAGAGGAGUUGCGUCUGCCCUUAUUUACCUCCAUGAAGAGUGGGAACAGGUUGUUCUGCAUAGAGAUGUGAAAGCUAGCAAUAUACUGUUAGAUGAUGAUUUCAAUGGUCGACUAGGAGAUUUUGGGCUUGCUAAAUUCUAUGAUCGUGGGGCUAAUCCUCAAACAACCUGUGUGGUUGGAACAGUUGGAUAUAUCGCGCCAGAGGUUACUAGAACAGGAAGGGCCACUACCAGCAGUGAUGUUUUUGCUUUUGGCACUUUUAUGCUUGAAAUGGCUUGUGGAAGGAAAC
RNAcentral lists this long non-coding RNA (24937 nucleotides) under Populus trichocarpa (black cottonwood). RNAcentral's name for it is "long non-coding RNA (PTRI_LNC002268)". The record is from RNAcentral. Lineage: Eukaryota; Viridiplantae; Streptophyta; Magnoliopsida; Malpighiales; Salicaceae.